RNAcentral lists this ribosomal RNA (515 nucleotides) under uncultured bacterium. Its description in RNAcentral is "partial 16S ribosomal RNA". It matches the Rfam family "Bacterial small subunit ribosomal RNA", at positions 28 to 523 of the family's 1533-position model. The record is from RNAcentral.
GACGAACGCUGGCGGCGUGCCUAAUACAUGCAAGUCGAGCGGACUUUCAAGAAGCUUGCUUUUUGAAAGUUAGCGGCGGACGGGUGAGUCACACGUGGGCAACCUGCCUGUAAGACGGGGAUAACUCCGGGAAACCGGGGCUAAUACCGGAUAAUAUCUUUCUUCGCAUGAAGGAAGGUUGAAAGGCGGCGCAAGCUGCCGCUUGCAGAUGGGCCCGCGGCGCAUUAGCUAGUUGGUGAGGUAACGGCUCACCAAGGCGACGAUUCGUAGCCGACCUGAGAGGGUGAUCGGCCACACUGGGACUGAGACACGGCCCAGACUCCUACGGGAGGCAGCAGUAGGGAAUCUUCCGCAAUGGACGAAAGUCUGACGGAGCAACGCCGCGUGAGCGAAGAAGGUCUUCGGAUCGUAAAGCUCUGUUGUCAGGGAAGAACAAGUACCGUUCGAAUAAGGCGGUACCUUGACGGUACCUGACCAGAAAGCCACGGCUAACUACGUGCCAGCCGCCGCAGUAA